Molecule: ribosomal RNA, 253 nt
Filed under: uncultured bacterium
Lineage: Bacteria
Description: partial 16S ribosomal RNA
Rfam family: Bacterial small subunit ribosomal RNA
Source: RNAcentral
UACGAAGGGGGCUAGCGUUGUUCGGAAUCACUGGGCGUAAAGGGCGCGUAGGCGGCUUUAUAAGUCGGGGGUGAAAGCCUGUGGCUCAACCACAGAAUUGCCUUCGAUACUGUAGAGCUUGAGACCGGAAGAGGUAAGUGGAACUGCGAGUGUAGAGGUGAAAUUCGUAGAUAUUCGGAAGAACACCGGUGGCGAAGGCGGCCCACUGGCUCGAUACUGACGCUGAGGUGCGAAAGCGUGGGGAGCAAACAGG